This 406-nucleotide ribosomal RNA is filed under the name uncultured bacterium. RNAcentral's name for it is "partial 16S ribosomal RNA". It matches the Rfam family "Bacterial small subunit ribosomal RNA", at positions 30 to 526 of the family's 1533-position model. The record is from RNAcentral.
AUUGAACGCUGGCGGCAGGCUUAACACAUGCAAGUCGAGCGAGAGGCGGACGGGUGAGUAAUGUCUGGGAAACUGCCUGAUGGAGGGGGAUAACUACUGGAAACGGUAGCUAAUACCGCAUACUAUCGGAUGUGCCCAGCGUGGAUUAGCUCGUAGGUGGGGUAAUGGCUCACCUAGGCGACGAUCCCUAGCUGGUCUGAGAGGAUGACCAGCCACAAUGAAAUGGAGACACGGUCCAGACCCCUACGUGAGGCAGCAGUGGGGAAUAUUGCACAAUGGGCGCAAGCCUGAUGCAGCCAUGCCGCGUGUGUGAAGAAGGCCUUCGGGUUGUAAAGCACUUUCAGCGAGGAGGCGUUACUCGCAGAAGAAGCACCGGCUAACUCCGGGCCAGCAGCCGCGGUAAUAC